This 301-nucleotide ribosomal RNA is filed under the name uncultured bacterium. Its description in RNAcentral is "partial 16S ribosomal RNA". It matches the Rfam family "Bacterial small subunit ribosomal RNA", at positions 509 to 807 of the family's 1533-position model. The record is from RNAcentral.
CAGUCGCCGCGGUAAUACGUAGGUGGCAAGCGUUGUCCGGAAUUGUUGGGCGUAAAGGGCUCGCAGGCGGUUUCUUAAGUCUGAUGUGAAAGCCCCCGGCUCAACCGGGGAGGGUCAUUGGAAACUGGGAAACUUGAGUGCAGAAGAGGAGAGUGGAAUUCCACGUGUAGCGGUGAAAUGCGUAGAGAUGUGGAGGAACACCAGUGGCGAAGGCGACUCUCUGGUCUGUAACUGACGCUGAGGAGCGAAAGCGUGGGGAGCGAACAGGAUUAGAUACCCCGGUAGUCCCUGUCUCUUAUAC